AGAGGUGGCAAGCGUUGUUCGGAAUUACUGGGCGUAAAGGGCGCGUAGGCGGUCUUAUAAGUCUCGUGUGAAAUCCCUCGGCUUAACUGAGGAACUGCACGGGAUACUGCAAGACUUGAGAUCGGGAGAGGGAAGCGGAAUUCCGGGUGUAGCGGUGAAAUGCGUAGAUAUCCGGAGGAACACCGGUGGCGAAGGCGGCUUCCUGGACCGACACUGACGCUGAGGCGCGAAAGCUAGGGGAGCAAACGGGAUUAGAUACCCCGGUAGUCCUAGCUGUAAACGAUGAGUGCUGGGUGUAGGGGGUAUAAACCCUCCUGUGCCGAAGCUAACGCAUUAAGCACUCCGCCUGGGGAGUACGGUCGCAAGGGUG
This 370-nucleotide ribosomal RNA is filed under the name uncultured bacterium. Its description in RNAcentral is "bacterial SSU rRNA". It matches the Rfam family "Bacterial small subunit ribosomal RNA", at positions 527 to 896 of the family's 1533-position model. The record is from RNAcentral.